This 389-nucleotide ribosomal RNA is filed under the name uncultured bacterium. RNAcentral describes it as "bacterial SSU rRNA". It matches the Rfam family "Bacterial small subunit ribosomal RNA", at positions 30 to 419 of the family's 1533-position model. The record is from RNAcentral.
AUUGAACGCUGGCGGCAUGCCUUACACAUGCAAGUCGAACGGCAGCACGGGAGCAAUCCUGGUGGCGAGUGGCGAACGGGUGAGUAAUAUAUCGGAACGUGCCCAGUCGUGGGAUAACGUAGCGAAAGCUACGCUAAUACCGCAUACGAUCUAUGGAUGAAAGCGGGGGAUCGCAAGACCUCGCGCGAUUGGAGCGGCCGAUAUCAGAUUAGGUAGUUGGUGAGGUAAAGGCUCACCAAGCCGACGAUCUGUAGCUGGUCUGAGAGGACGACCAGCCACACUGGGACUGAGACACGGCCCAGACUCCUACGGGAGGCAGCAGUGGGGAAUUUUUGGGACAAUGGGCGCAAGCCUGAUCCAGCAAUGCCGCGUGCAGGAUGAAGGCCUUC